GACUCGUUAGCUCAGUUGGUAGAGCAUUUGACUUUUAAUCAAAGGGUCACUGGUUCGAAGCCAGUACGGGUCA
RNAcentral lists this transfer RNA (73 nucleotides) under Streptococcus anginosus. Its description in RNAcentral is "tRNA-Lys". It matches the Rfam family "tRNA". Rfam says of the family: Transfer RNA (tRNA) molecules are approximately 80 nucleotides in length. Their secondary structure includes four short double-helical elements and three loops (D, anti-codon, and T loops). Lineage: Bacteria; Bacillati; Bacillota; Bacilli; Lactobacillales; Streptococcaceae. The record is from RNAcentral.